Long non-coding RNA from Lactuca sativa (garden lettuce), 683 nucleotides. RefSeq lists it as uncharacterized. Lineage: Eukaryota; Viridiplantae; Streptophyta; Magnoliopsida; Asterales; Asteraceae. The record is from RefSeq and is a predicted model, not a curated record.
CAAAACACCCUUGUUCUCCCCCAAUACUUGCAACACCCUCGUUCACGUCAUGAGACUCAUUCCCCUGACACGCUCUUUCAUAAUGUUCAUCAGAGUGAAGAGUUGUGACCCUUCUCAGAUCUCCCACACGGACGAUCGUUCCCUCAUCUCGGCUCCAGACUUCCUAUCGCGGCGGCGGCUAUUGCUUCUCCGUCUGAUGUUGAUGAGGGAAAAACUAUUAACGAUAAUACACAGAAUCUUGUUAGAUAUAUGCUUUCUUCAAACCUGGAGAAGUCUGUGGUUGGGAUACCUAUACAUGUCCAUGUGUGCCUUAACAUGAAAUGGGCAAUAUAUUGCAUAAAGUUUGGGGAUGUGUUUGGUGACAUAGACUCUCUUAAAGGUUUCAAUAAUGCUUCACCUUCAUCUGCAAAGGGGACAAAUAACAAGGGAGUGAGUAAAACCCCUUCAUAAGAAGGCUCUUGUAUAGGAAGUGUAUAAAGCUUUGUUUGCAAAGCCAUAGAUCCAACAGUCAUAGUAUUUUCUAUUGUUUUUAUAAUUAUGUAUAUAUAUUCACUUGUUUCUUGGAAGAUGAUUUUUUAGUUUGAUUUCCAAGUUAGGGCUUUCUUUUUGUGAAUUAUGAUGUGGCUUUACUGAAACUAGAAACCACCAAUCCGAAGUGACAACUCUAUUUAAUUUGUUAUUCA